CCUACGGGAGGCUGCAGUAGGGUAUAUUGCUCCAUGGGGGAAACCCUGAAGCAGCAACGCCGCGUGGAGGAUGAAGGUUUUCGGAUUGUAAACUCCUUUUGUUAGAGAAGAUAAUGACGGUAUCUAACGAAUAAGCACCGUCUAACUCCGUGCCAGCAGCCGCUGUAAUACGGAGGGUGCAAGCGUUACUCGGAAUCACUGGGCGUAAAGAGCGCGUAGGCGGGAUAGCAAGUCAGAUGUGAAAUCCUAUGGCUUAACCAUAGAAUUGCCUUUGAAACUGUUCAUCUAGAGUAUGGGAGAGGUAGGUGGAAUUCGUGGUGAAGGGGUGAAAUCCGUAGAGAUCAAGAGGAACACUCAUUGCGAAGGCAACUUACUAGAACAUAACUGACGCUGAUGCGCGAAAGCGUGGGGAGCAAACAGGAUUAGAUACCCCAGUAGUC
RNAcentral lists this ribosomal RNA (440 nucleotides) under uncultured bacterium. RNAcentral's name for it is "partial 16S ribosomal RNA". It matches the Rfam family "Bacterial small subunit ribosomal RNA", at positions 338 to 795 of the family's 1533-position model. The record is from RNAcentral.